CUCAUAAUUUCGGAUCUCAUAUUUUGAAAGAGUGGAACAGUGUUAAUUAAUUUAAUUUUUAAAAUGCCAUAGGUAUAAUUAUUAAAUCAGUCUAUCGACACUUUGGACGAAUUAAAUAUUGUGUGUCAUCACGUAAAGAUUUAAAUAUCUUAAUUUUGUGAUAGGAAAACAUUGAAAAAGCUUCAUUUAUUUAUUCGAUGAAUUUGUAAACAUAACAAAACCACGUUGCAGUAUUCGUAUAUGUAAGCAGAAACACACACGUGUGUGUGUGUGCAUGUAUGUAUGACCUGUGAAUAUGAGCUCAUCUCAAUCGAAUUUUAAGUAUAUAUUUAUUCUGAAUAUUAAAACAUUCGUCAGAAUUCAGAAUAAGUUUUGUCAAUGUAACUUUCAACCGGCAGCCAAUAAAUUGAUAAUACCGUCAUAAUAGCAACGUUGUUUAAUAACCCGGUUGUGUAUAAUAUAUCUACUUUAGGGAUAAAAACUUAAAGUUUGAAAAGUUCACAAACGACUUUGUAUGCAUUUAAACAAGAUAAUGGUACGCACUCGUUUAUAUUUUGUAAAACCUGUGUAUAAUAUACUUUGUUUAGUGAGUCAAGUUAUUUAAAUUUCACCUUAUAGUGAUAAGUGACAUGGAAACCAAUCAAAGACCAAGAUCAAAUGCGAGUGUUACAUUACCAAUUAAUGGAAAAAGUACAACUGCAUUUGUGUCAUCGCUUGUUAUUAAGCUGAUUGCCGUUAGUGUCAUUUACGGUGCUGGUUAUAUGAAUUGGUCGAUUGCAUGGUUAAUUACGCCAAUAGUUUUAUCAGAAACUCGCGAAUAUUUGACCGAUCCAAGGAAUGUUGUUCGACGGAAAAUCGCUAGAUUAUCAGCGAGUGAAACAGAGAAGAAAACCAUUCUUGCAUGUGUGAAAGACUUGCCAUCAUGGGUUUAUUUCCCGGAUUUCGAACGCUGCGAAUGGAUCAAUCAAAUUUUGCAACAAAUGUGGCCAUUCGUUGACGAACACUUUUCCAAUAAACUGAUAAAAGACAAACUGGAGCCGAAAAUUCGUAAGGCACUGUCCAAAAUGAAAUUAAAUGGCUUCGAAUUCGACCGUAACCAUAUUUUAUUGGGAAGAACACCGAUUCGUGUUGGCGGUAUUAAAGUUCAUGAUAUGAAUACGGCACGCGAUGAAAUCAUUUUAGAUGUUGAUCUUAUAUUCGCAAGUGAAUGUAGCAUUAAUUUCCGCCUUGGCGGAAUACCAGCUGCGUUGAAUGACUUCGAAAUCUAUGGAAAAAUUCGAGUAAUUUUGAAACCGCUUGUAUCUAAGGCUCCGUUUAUCGGUGGUAUACAGGUAUUUUUCUUAAAUGCGCCUGAUAUUGACUUUGAUUUGGCUGGACCGGCUGAGAUAUCAAAUAUUCCCGGUUUGAGAGACAUCUUACGUCGGAUUAUCGCAAAGAAAAUUGCUAAGAAAAUGGUUUCACCCAACAAGUUUGCGAAGAAAUUGAUUAAAGACGUUUCAGCAUCGACUGUUAAAGUGAAUGAACCGGAAGGUUGCGUAAGAGUUCACGUUUUCGAAGCCAGAAAUUUGAUCAAACAAGACAUCACACUAUUGGGCGGUAAAUCGGAUCCGUAUGUUGUUAUCGCAAUUGGAGCACAUCAAUUCCGCACUCGGACAAUACACGACAAUUUGAAUCCAGUUUGGGAUUAUUGGUGUGAGGCUUUAAUCGAUUCGACAUCCGAAAGGACAAUCAAAUUUCAUUUAUUUGAUUGGGACCGAUCAGAUAGCGACGAUCCACUUGGCAGUGCAACAGUUGAUCUGAAUGAGGUUUUCAAGACUGGAAUAUUAGACACUUGGUUAACACUGAAGGGAGUGGAACACGGGGAGUUACACGUACGUUUCGCUUGGUAUGAGCUCUCAUCGUCAUCGUAUGACCUGGCAGCAGCUCUUGCUGAAACGAAAAAUUUGGGACUGACCAGUCUAAGCAGUGCAGCAUUGUGCGUGUACGUUGAUUCAGCUAUUGAUUUGCCUCACAUUCACUCGGACGACAAACCGAAUGCGUUUGCUAAAGUCUGUGUUUCCAAUCAGGAACGUCUCACUUCAGUUAAAAAAUGGACUGACACACCUAUCUGGGAGCAGGGCUUCACGUUUCUGGUAGCAAAUCCAGAACUCGAUUGUGUGAAAAUUCGCAUUAUUGGACAGACAUCAAACAAGAAAGACGGCGAAACUAUCGGCCAAUUCAUACAUAGCAUCAGUGAUUUGCUGUUGCAAACUGAUCUGAGGAUUGCGUUACAAGAAUUCCCGUUACAAAAAUCUGGAACAACAUCCAAAGUCAAAUUAUCGAUGACUUUAAAGAUUUUGAAACAGUCCGGAACGCAAUCACUUCCACCAAUGUUUGCAGCACAUCGUGCUCGAACGCCUAGUAUUCAGGCACAAUCGUCACAUGAUAGUUCAUCAUCGGAAGAAAAAAUUGUGGAAGAAAGGGUCCUGCUAAAAAGUAUGCGUCAAUUGAGUGCGGACAAUUCUAUGGGCUUGGGCAGUAUAAAACUCACUUUAUAUUAUAGCUCCAAAUAUCACAUACUGAACGUAACGGUUCAUAAAGUCAUGUGAAAAUGUGCCUAUCAAAGAUCAAUCGGAUCUCCCAGAUCCGUAUGUUAUUCUUCACCUGUUGCCGAAACGAGUAAAGGAUAACAAACGUAAAACGGUUGUCGUGAAAAAUUCUUGUGAUCCUGUCUACGAGGCCACAUUUGAAUAUGGGUCAAUUUCUCCGAAUGAACUAAAAACAGCAGAGCUUGAAGUGACUGUGAAAACUAAGAUGACAUUUUUGAGUGGCGGAAGCGUCACAAUCGGAAUGGUGAGAAUUUGUUUAAUUGACAAAGACAUCACCGAAAAAGAGUCAACUGAAUUUUACGAUCUCAUGCGAGAAGUUAAACUUGGAUAAAUCUCAAAUCAAGACCACGCUUUCGCAUAUAUUUUGAAUUAAUAGGACCAUUACUGCCACUGGCUUAGCUUCCAAUAAACUUAUUAAUCUCGCUAAAACUGUAAGCCGCGACAACAGAGAAUUUUCGUGGUGCUAAUCUGCCGUGUUUAGCCAAAACAAUUUUUCGCAGUUGUAAGUUAGCUUUAACAAGCUUUGUAGGGAUUUGGAGAGCUUUGAGCGUCUUUUGGAUUCCAUUAGAAAAAUUUCCCAUUGAAAUAAAAAAAAGCUUGCAGCUCUCUCAAACGAUUAUGAAGCUCAUGUACCUAAUAUUGUAAUAAUUGCAGCACAAGAAUAUACAUUGGAAGUUACGUUAUUCAA
Unclassified non-coding RNA from Bradysia coprophila, 3276 nucleotides. Lineage: Eukaryota; Metazoa; Arthropoda; Insecta; Diptera; Sciaridae. The record is from RefSeq and is a predicted model, not a curated record.